ACACACCGCAGUAGCACCCUAAACUAAAACUACCAAUGGGUUCCCUGUUUUCCUUUCUGAACAAUUCAAAGGUCCCUCUCUAUCUCCCCACACAUCCACCAACCACUGGAACACAUCUCCAAAGUUCUGCCGGGCCAGCUCAGCUUCCCCUCAGAAGAAGUGCUGCCACCUGCCAGAUGAAGGAGCAUUUUGAGAGGCAGCUGGCAUCGUGAUUGGACUGUACUUUGGUCUGUUCCAAUCCAGCUUCAGUUCCAGAGAUGGCAGGCGGGACGAGUCAACGGAGGCCGGGUGGACGAAGGCAUGCAGCUGAGUACAAUCCAGAAAACAACAGUGGAGGAGUGCAGCAGCCCAGAGCCAGAACAGAGUAGCAUGACCAAAGAACUACAGACUCUUCACAACCUGCUCAAACUCUUGGUACAGGACCUCACCACACGGGUCAAGAAGGUUGCUUUGUAGAACUGUUCCAGAAAACCUCACUAAACCACAUGGAGGGGCCUCAAGAUAGUCGUCCACAUGAAACCUUACAAAAACCAAACUAGCACAACCCAAAUGCUAAAGUCUCCUGCAGCCUACCAGAGAACCUCUGAGAACAGAGAAUCAGGACAGGAACUCUUACCUUCUGGACAACCAACCUUGGUUCACAAACAAGUAUACAGAAUGUGUCUGACCAAAAACCUCUACAGACUCACUACAGCCAAGAUAAAGACACAACUCACCUGCACCAAAUCCACUAAUCACUGCACACAUUAGCACCAUGUGCUAACUGUGGCUAAAGAACCACAUUUACCAAGACAACUAUCCAGUACAAAACCCUAAAACACACCAAGAAACACAUUAAAGACGAUUUUACUGCUGGAAGCUGCAAGCCAACGCCUAAACAACAAACUAAAGCAACGGAGCCAAACCCAGUUCAGUGGUGAACAGAAGCAGAGGAAAUGUUUGUCUGCAGCUAAAUAAAGCAGGAAGACACUGAGCUGCUCAGGUGUUCCUGAUAACACCAAGCAGCCACCUGGACAGCCAAUAGGAACACAGCUUACUGGAAGUCCAGAGGGCUGGCUUAGUGAAGGAAAUUUAGUUUAAAUUUGAAGCAGAAAGUUAACAAAGAAAGUUGAAAACCACCUUCUGAUACCUGAAAUCUCUGAGUUUUCACACAAAGAACACCUGAACAUGUCAAACUGGUUCCAUAGUAGAACCAUCAUUGUAAAAACGUCAUAGUAUGGUGUGUUGCUCAAAAAA
Molecule: long non-coding RNA, 1236 nt
Organism: Amphiprion ocellaris (clown anemonefish)
Lineage: Eukaryota; Metazoa; Chordata; Actinopteri; Pomacentridae
Source: Ensembl